This 301-nucleotide ribosomal RNA is filed under the name uncultured bacterium. RNAcentral's name for it is "partial 16S ribosomal RNA". It matches the Rfam family "Bacterial small subunit ribosomal RNA", at positions 509 to 809 of the family's 1533-position model. The record is from RNAcentral.
CAGUCGCCACGGUAAUACGAAGGGGGCUAGCGUUGUUCGGAAUUACUGGGCGUAAAGCGUGCGUAGGCGGUUUGUUAAGUCUGCUGUGAAAUCCCCGGGCUCAACCUGGGAAGGGCAGUGGAUACUGGCAAGCUAGAGUGUGUCAGAGGAUGGUGGAAUUCCCGGUGUAGCGGUGAAAUGCGUAGAGAUCGGGAGGAACAUCAGUGGCGAAGGCGGCCAUCUGGGACAACACUGACGCUGAGGCACGAAAGCGUGGGGAGCAAACAGGAUUAGAUACCCCAGUAGUUCCUGUCUCUUAUAA